AUCAUAGAGCUAAACCGUGAUGGUGGCUGAGGUGCGGGCCUGUGGUUGGUGGAGCGGACGGGGGAGGGCGGGGAGUUGUGACGUAGACAGUGCUAUAUAUAUGGGUAUGGUAGAAGUUAGUGUUAGUGUGAGUGGAGUGUACGGUAGAACGCACGAAGUGUACUUGACCUGUUAUCAUCUGUCUUCAAAUACUAGUUAUUAAAGCCUAAUAACUACAAGCCUGUCUCCGACUCAUCUUGGGAACGUUACAGUAUUGUAAUAUACACACUAGUUUAAUGAUUGUUCUUCAAAGGUAUUAUUCAGUCUUAAAAAAAUAAUAGCCUACUGAAUAGGAUACUCUACAGCAGUGAAUGAAGGAUGAGCCUAAAACAUGGUCAUGCAUCCAAAAUGUUUAUUUUUAACAAAAUAAACACUUUUUUUUUUUUAAAUUAGCACUUUUUUAAAUUAAGCCUCAUAUGUCAGCCAUGGCUGUUGCUGCUGGCGGAGGCUGUUGCUGCUGAAGGAGGGUGCUGCUGCUGGAGGGUGCUGCUGCUGAAGGAGGCUGGUGCUGGCAACGGCUGCAGGUGAUGACUGCUGAAAGAAGAGGAGGCUGGAGGCUGCUGACGGUGGACCAGGAAUGGAGAUGCCAAGUACAUCGAUGGCAACGAGUAAGGUGUUUGGCAGUGGCCUAGAUGUUAUGACCUUCGGUACAGAGGUCUGUUGGGUCUUCUUUGCCUUCUUACUCUGACUCUUGCUGCCAAGAUACCCUUUAUGUUUAUCCUUCCUCUCAGCCCUGAUGCACUUUGAUGCAAUCCUUAACCUCAGCCUGAUGUAUGUUGAGAGGAUUUUUUUCUUCAGGUCAUGGCAUGAGGGAAGGUUGCUGUCCAGCAACAUGGCUUCUUGUUCCAGCUGUAUUUGAGGACUCCAAUCGCUCAUCCUCACACGGAACAGCUGCUCCACGUUCUGAACAAGGGUGAAAACCUCAUCAGAUGGAUGUUGCCUCAUUAGAUCCUCCACGUGAGCCCGGUCACAACUGGCCCUUGGCAGUCUGGUCCCUAGAGCACCUGACCCUGGCAAACUGGCCUCUUCAUAGCUGACCCCUGACUGACUGGCUCCUGGCACACUGAUCUCUGACACAGGUUUUGUCUGUUGACCAUUGCCAUCCAUCUCUUCCUUCGCUCUACGUCCUUAGGGAAGCCAUACAUCCGGAACCCCUUCUCGGAUCGAUUAGAGCAUCCAAAUGCUGCACAUCCAACCAUGGGCCCAGGAAACAGAUGAAGAGGAUGUCCCUUUCACAAAGGAACCUUUUUGUUUGUUUCAAAAUGGUUAGGCUCCUGGAUGCCUAGAGUUCUGUAUUGCUUUUUUGUAAAUAGUAUUGCUUUUUUGUAAAUAGUUGCUUACCCUAACCCUUUUUUGUAAAUGUGACCUGCUCCAUCGAAAUCAGUCGCAUUGACCCGAAGACACAUUUUAAGUUGUAUACACUGUUGGAAAGAGGAUAUUCCUAGCUUUCUA
Gymnodraco acuticeps is the source of this 1491-nucleotide long non-coding RNA. RefSeq lists it as uncharacterized. Lineage: Eukaryota; Metazoa; Chordata; Actinopteri; Perciformes; Bathydraconidae. The record is from RefSeq and is a predicted model, not a curated record. The transcript has 4 exons.